Long non-coding RNA from Acanthopagrus latus (yellowfin seabream), 537 nucleotides. RefSeq lists it as uncharacterized. The transcript has 2 exons. The record is from RefSeq and is a predicted model, not a curated record. Lineage: Eukaryota; Metazoa; Chordata; Actinopteri; Spariformes; Sparidae.
GGGCGCAUUUGGAGGGCCAUUUUCGCUCCCUGAACUAAUUCAACGCUUUUUUUUCCCAAGGGGAGGAUAACAGCCCAGGAAGAGGCAAACAUUAUUAUAAGUCAGUGCAUGUAGAGAGCUGCAGCGUUCCAACGUUUCAGACAGUGAAGACAUGACCCUCACCGUGAGAUUCAACAUGGGCCCCUCAAGCGGUGUGCCUGAAGAUGGCUCUGAGGAGUUAUUGUUUUCUCACUCUCCUGGAGACGUCAGCAAUGUCAGCAAACAUCUCAUAAGAUGGACAUAUCAUGUGCGACAUGUACCACACACUUUGUUUUGCCAGUCUUAAUAUCAUAGUUUAGCCACUGAAAUAUCAGGUACGAUUUGUACAAUUCAGUGUGUGUGGUGAUAAAAUAUAAAAUCACACUCAUAGCCCAUACAAUUAAUCUGACAUGAAUAUUGAACUUGAAGCUUUGAAUAAAAUCUAAGUUAUGAACACUAAUGCAGGUAAAUGACAUCAUCUUUCACACUGGGAAUAAAGUAAGCUUGUAUUCUGUUAAA